UACAGAGGUCUCAAGCGUUGUUCGGAUUCAUUGGGCGUAAAGGGUGCGUAGGCGGCGCGGUAAGUCGGGUGUGAAAUCUUACAGCUUAACUGUGAACUUGCUUUCGAUACGGGCAGACUUGAGGCAUUCAGGGGAGAACGGAAUUCCUGGUGUAGCGGUGAAAUGCGCAGAUAUCAGGAGGAACACCGGUGGCGAAGGCGGUUCUCUGGGAAUGUCCUGACGCUGAGGAGCGAAAGUGUGGGGAGCGAACAGG
RNAcentral lists this ribosomal RNA (253 nucleotides) under uncultured bacterium. RNAcentral describes it as "partial 16S ribosomal RNA". It matches the Rfam family "Bacterial small subunit ribosomal RNA", at positions 524 to 776 of the family's 1533-position model. The record is from RNAcentral.